AUGAAAAGCCGACGGCAAGAUCUAUUCACUCUAGCAACCAGUUACAGCGGCCAGCUAAAAGCAAAAGCACCACAAUUGAUCAAAGAAAGUGAUUUCCAUCAGGUUGUGGAAGUAAAGCCAGCUAAGACUGAGCCAGCAGAAACGGCGCCAGGUGAUUCUACAACCUCCGGAACAUCAAACUUGCAAGCACCAAGUUCCUCGGUUAAAGUUAAUGGAGAAUCUAAUUCAGAUAAAGAUGUUUGUGAUAGUAUCUAGUUCCUCAUCUGGUAAAGAGCGGAGAACUCUAAAUCGGGCUGCUGAUGUACAGCCUAUCCUCACAGUGCCGUCCUCAAAUAAUGCAUCGUAAGUCUCAAUCUUUCACUCAACUCUUUAAUUGCUCAAAUUAGUAUAUUGUUACUAUAUAUUGAUUGAUUAAAUCCAUUAUUAUUUACUUUGCUGGAAAAAGUGCUGUAGUACUUGCUUACUAAUUAGUGCUACAGCCCC
This 483-nucleotide long non-coding RNA is filed under the name Bemisia tabaci. Its description in RNAcentral is "lncRNA ENSSWEETPG004337". Lineage: Eukaryota; Metazoa; Arthropoda; Insecta; Hemiptera; Aleyrodidae. The record is from RNAcentral.